This 528-nucleotide ribosomal RNA is filed under the name uncultured bacterium. RNAcentral's name for it is "bacterial SSU rRNA". It matches the Rfam family "Bacterial small subunit ribosomal RNA", at positions 355 to 897 of the family's 1533-position model. The record is from RNAcentral.
UGGGGAAUAUUGCGCAAUGGGCGAAAGCCUGACGCAGCGACGCCGCGUGUGGGAUGACGGCCUUCGGGUUGUAAACCACUGUCGGGAGGGACGAAGAUCUGACGGUACCUCCAAAGGAAGCACCGGCUAACUCUGUGCCAGCAGCCGCGGUAAUACAGAGGGUGCGAGCGUUGUCCGGAAUCACUGGGCGUAAAGGGCGCGUAGGCGGCCCGAUAAGUAGGGGGCGAAAUCUUGCGGCUCAACCGCAAGGCUGCCUUCUAAACUGUCGGGCUGGAGCACGGUAGAGGCAGAUGGAAUUCCCGGUGUAGCGGUGGAAUGCGUAGAGAUCGGGAAGAACACCAGUGGCGAAGGCGGUCUGCUGGGCCGUUGCUGACGCUGAGGCGCGACAGCGUGGGGAGCAAACAGGAUUAGAUACCCUGGUAGUCCACGCCGUAAACGAUGGGCACUAGGCGUCGGGGGGAGCGACCCUCCCGGUGCCGUCGCUAACGCAGUAAGUGCCCCGCCUGGGGAGUACGGCCGCAAGGCUGA